UACGUAGGUGACAAGCGUUGUCCGGAUUUACUGGGCGUAAAGAGCGCGCAGGCGGUCGAUCAAGUCGAGUGUGAAAGCCCCCGGCUCAACUGGGGAGGGUCAUUCGAUACUGAUCGACUCGAAGGCAGGAGAGGGUAGUGGAAUUCCCGGUGUAGUGGUGAAAUGCGUAGAUAUCGGGAGGAACACCAGUGGCGAAGGCGGCGACCUGGGUCGAGACUGACGCUGAGGCGCGAAAGCGUGGGGAGCAAACAGG
RNAcentral lists this ribosomal RNA (253 nucleotides) under uncultured bacterium. RNAcentral describes it as "partial 16S ribosomal RNA". It matches the Rfam family "Bacterial small subunit ribosomal RNA", at positions 524 to 776 of the family's 1533-position model. The record is from RNAcentral.